Molecule: ribosomal RNA, 455 nt
Filed under: uncultured bacterium
Lineage: Bacteria
Description: bacterial SSU rRNA
Rfam family: Bacterial small subunit ribosomal RNA
Source: RNAcentral
UACGGAAGGCAGCAGUGGGGAAUAUUGCACAAUGGGCGCAAGCCUGAUGCAGCCAUGCCGCGUGUAUGAAGAAGGCCUUCGGGUUGUAAAGUACUUUCAGCGGGGAGGAAGGCGGUGAAGUUAAUAGCUUCACCGAUUGACGUUACCCGCAGAAGAAGCACCGGCUAACUCCGUGCCAGCAGCCGCGGUAAUACGGAGGGUGCAAGCGUUAAUCGGAAUUACUGGGCGUAAAGCGCACGCAGGCGGUCUGUCAAGUCGGAUGUGAAAUCCCCGGGCUUAACCUGGGAACUGCAUUCGAAACUGGCAGGCUAGAGUCUUGUAGAGGGGGUAGAAUUCCAGGUGUAGCGGUGAAAUGCGUAGAGAUCUGGAGGAAUACCGGUGGCGAAGGCGGCCCCUGGGACAAAGCUGACGCUCAGGGUGCGAAAGCGUGGGGAGCGAAACAGGAUUAGGAUACC